RNAcentral lists this ribosomal RNA (1283 nucleotides) under uncultured soil eukaryote. RNAcentral describes it as "SSU rRNA". It matches the Rfam family "Eukaryotic small subunit ribosomal RNA", at positions 539 to 1717 of the family's 1831-position model. The record is from RNAcentral.
GCGAUUGGAGGGCAAGUCUGGUGCCAGCAGCCGCGGUAAUUCCAGCUCCAAUAGCGUAUAUUAAAGCUGUUGCAGUUAAAAAGCUCGUAGUUGGAUCUCGAGAUGUGGUGUACAUUGGCCCAGGGAUCGCUCUCUGAGUGCCAGUAUGCUCAUCUCCACCUUUCAGCCUCCCCGACUUGCCUGUUGGUUCAGGUUAAGCCGAGAGAACAUGAGGGAUCGGGUUAUUUAUGGGGUAACUCAUGGGUAACUUCCCCUUAUGUUGGGAGACUGAAUCGUUUACCUUGAGGAAAUUAGAGCGUUCAAGGCGGGUGGAAUUUUAGCCACCGUCGAAUACGUCAGCAUGGGAUGAUGGAACAGGACCCUGCUCCCGUUUUGCCUGGUUUUACCGUAUGUCAAGGGCUUUUAAGUUGGAUUGUUUUGCAGUUCAAUUUGGGAGUUCCGGCAUACAUCCAGCGGGAUUUGUUUAUUGCAGGAUUUAUGAAAGAUCAACUUCCGCGAAGGCAUCUGCCAGGGACGCCUUCGUUAAUCAAGAACGAGAGUUGGGGGAUCGAAGACGAUCAGAUACCGUCGUAGUCUCAACCGUAAACGAUGCCGACCGGCGAUCGGAGGGCGUCGCCGCGGAUGACCCCUCCGGCAGCCCCGCGGGAAACCUCGAGUCUUCGGGUUCCGGGGGGAGUAUGGUCGCAAGGCUGAAACUUAAAGGAAUUGACGGAAGGGCACCACCAGGAGUGGAGCCUGCGGCUUAAUUUGACCCAACGCGGGGAAACUCACCGGGUCCGGACACGGUCGGGAUUGACAGAUCGAGAGCUCUUUCUUGAUUCCGUGGGUGGUGGUGCAUGGCCGUUCUUGGUUGGUGGAGCGAUUUGUCUGGUUAAUUCCGUUAACGAACGAGACCUCGGCCUGCUAAAUAGCCGCGCCGACCGCCCGUCCCGGGGGGGGGCGACCCCCCCCGGGGCGCGUCGGCGACGGAGCUUCUUAGAGGGACCAUCCGCGUCCAGCGGGCGGAAGUUCGAGGCAAUAACAGGUCUGUGAUGCCCUUAGAUGUCCCGGGCCGCACGCGCGCUACAAUGGCGCGGGCAGCGAGCGUCUCAGCCUCGGCCGACGGGUCCGGGCGAUCUCGCGAGGCCGCGCCCCGACGGGGAUAGACCGUUGCGACUGUCGGUCUUCAACGAGGAAUUCCUAGUAGGCGCGGGUCAUCAGCCCGCGCCGAUUACGUCCCUGCCCUUUGUACACACCGCCCGUCGCUCCUACCGAUCGAACGGUCCGGCGAGACCUCCGGACGG